RNAcentral lists this long non-coding RNA (1938 nucleotides) under Zea mays. RNAcentral's name for it is "long non-coding RNA (ZMAY_LNC003818)". The record is from RNAcentral. Lineage: Eukaryota; Viridiplantae; Streptophyta; Magnoliopsida; Poales; Poaceae.
AUGAGAACUUAUCUUCUUUGCCUUAGCAUUUUCAUUGUCUUCCAUUACACUAUAUCAAUUUACAAGCGUACCUUUGAUACCUUGAGAGGAGGUACAAAGAUUCUUAGAAGGCUAAGAAUUAUGAAGCUAUGGCCCUCAAAAAGGUACCUUAUGUAGGGCACUGUUCAUCUAUUUAUAGGGAAGACGAACUGCCUUUGUACAGAUUUACAAUAAUGCCCAUCAAGGUUUUACAUACGCUGUUUACAAAUGAUAUAAAGACAAUAACGUAUUUUCUCCGUUUUUGGCUUUGUGGGUCUCAGCCUUUGUUGUUCAGUUACUUCCUCUUUGGCUCGUGCCCGAAGUCAUUGCCUUUGGUCGUCGUCUUUUCUACUUGCACAUAGAUGAAGCGUCCUUGUUCACUGCUUUAGUCGAAAGUUAGCUUCGUAUGCAAGUGGAAACGUUCCUAAACACACUUAUUCAUACCGAAGCUAUAUGCUAGAUAGAUGAUUGUUUCAUCGUAAACAAGUGAUCUUCGGUAAUGGCUUUUAUUGUACUCUUGAAACACAAUUAUGUAAUACAGUUAAUCAGAGGACCUUCGGCAAUGUAGGCCCUAAUGAUUUUUCCGGAAGAUUCAUGUGUUUAGACAAAUAACAUAGGCUAAACAAAAUAAGUACUUAUUUUUGACAACAUAUUACACGAUAAAAUAAGGUUACUAAAGUGUAGACAAUAUUAAUAUGAAUCUAAUGCAAUUCGAACGGAUCAAAUCGGAGCUAAAAAGAAUUAGUUAUGAAUUUCUUAAGUUCUUAUAUUUAUUUUUGUACAUAAUAAUCAAUUUUCGGAUUUAAUUUAUAAUUAAACAAGAAUGCUGGAGUGCGGCCACUAUUUCUAUGAAAUUUGGGGUUGAAUUUGGAAGAACACGAACCUCGGUGUAAUGAUCUUGCAACAAUAGUGGACUGUGGGUUGAUAUACCUAUUUCUAAGAUCUCUUUAACAAAUGUUCCUUGACGAUAGGGGUACUAGUUUACAACAGUCGCCCGAUCUAGAAUCAAGUGCUCAGAUUAGAUCACUUAUACAUCAAAAAGGUAUUCCAAAUUGGCCUCCGGAUCUAGAUCCGAUGGUGAAGAUUUAAAUUUAAUGAGACGAAAGGGGAUCGCGUAGAUCUGAUCUACACCACUCCUUAUCCGAUCGACGACCCGAAUUCUAUGAUGUGAAGAGGUAUCUGACUCCUAAUCUGGUUCGUUCAUCCAAGCACCAACUCCUGGCAGCCAUCCCUAAGCUCCGCCCUCCCCCACCGGCAAUCCCCACGGUGGCGCCGCCCCAAACACAUCGGAAACACGCCGGGGCAACGCAAUUUGGCGGCCAGGCUCACCACUCCGACCAUCGAUCCCCGAAAACAAAUGCGGAGCAGGCGCGGAACUGAAUAUGUGAGGACUCACCGGAUAAUUGGGUGUCCAAAUAUAUGCCGACCACGGUCGACCGUGGUGCAGAGGCGUGGAAGUACUCCAGUGACGAAUUCACUGGACACCGAUGAUCCACGCGCCAAGGGCUUGCUCGUAGAUGAUCCUCGCGCCCCUGUGAACUCCAGUGAUCCCUUCUUGCACACUUGACGACGGCAGCACGAAGAACGGGUGUGAUGGUUUCAACCCCACCCGCCUGCGAUAAUGGCACAGGACGGACACACAGGAUGCCCAACAUAAUGGGCGAGACGAGCCUGGGUCCCAACUUUAUACACCGAUCCACCGACCCCAAUGAAGCUAGCUGGCGGAGUUGGAGUUUGUUACGAUCCUCAUGCGGGCGAUUCGAUCUCAACAGAUUGUUGCGGGGAAGACGAUCCUAGCGGCUUGGCCCCACCCGGCGGCGAGCAACCAAGAGGAUGCAUGGGGAAAAGGUGUGGCUGACAGCAGUGGCCCACAGGUCAGCCCCAAUUGGUGAAGGUGCGCGUGGAGUUGGGCCAACUGGC